AUUGAACGCUGGCGGCAGGCCUAACACAUGCAAGUCGAACGGUAACAGGAAACAGCUUGCUGUUUCGCUGACGAGUGGCGGACGGGUGAGUAACGUCUGGGAAACUGCCUGAUGGAGGGGGAUAACUGCUGGAAACGGUAGCUAAUACCGCAUAACGUCGCAAGACCAAAGAGGGGGACCUUCGGGCCUCGUGCCAUCGGAUGUGCCCAGAUGGGAUUAGCUAGUAGGUGGGGUAACGGCUCACCUAGGCGACGAUCCCUAGCUGGUCUGAGAGGGUGACCAGCCACACGGGAACCGGCGCCCGGUCCAGACGCCUACGGGAGGCAGCAGUGGGGAAUCUUGCACGGUGGGGGCGAGCCUCGUGCAGCCAUGCCGCGUGUCUGAAGACGGCCUUCGGGUUGUAAAGUACUUUCAGCGGGGAGGGAGGGAGUAAAGUUCAUACCUUUGCUCAUUGACGUUACCCGCAGAAGAAGCACCGGCCAACUCCGUGCCCGCCGCCGCCGUAA
Molecule: ribosomal RNA, 506 nt
Filed under: uncultured bacterium
Lineage: Bacteria
Description: partial 16S ribosomal RNA
Rfam family: Bacterial small subunit ribosomal RNA
Source: RNAcentral